Molecule: ribosomal RNA, 460 nt
Filed under: uncultured bacterium
Lineage: Bacteria
Description: partial 16S ribosomal RNA
Rfam family: Bacterial small subunit ribosomal RNA
Source: RNAcentral
CCUACGGGAGGCAGCAGUGAGGAAUAUUGGUCAAUGGGCGCGAGCCUGAACCAGCCAAGUCGCGUGAGGGAUGAAGGUUCUAUGGAUCGUAAACCUCUUUUAUAAGGGAAUAAAGUGUGGGACGUGUCCUAUUUUGUAUGUACCUUAUGAAUAAGGAUCGGCUAACUCCGUGCCAGCCGCCGCGGUAAUACGGAGGAUCCGAGCGUUAUCCGGAUUUAUUGGGUUUAAAGGGUGCGUAGGCGGGCUUUUAAGUCAGCGGUGAAAGUCUAUGGCUCAACCAUAGAAUUGCCGUUGAAACUGGGGGGCUUGAGUAUGUUUGAGGCAGGCGGAAUGCGUGGUGUAGCGGUGAAAUGCUUAGAUAUCACGCAGAACCCCGAUUGCGAAGGCAGCCUGCCAAGCCAUGACUGACGCUGAUGCGCGAAAGCGUGGGGAUCAAACAGGAUUAGAUACCCGGGUAGUC